This 80-nucleotide transfer RNA is filed under the name Vulcanisaeta moutnovskia 768-28. RNAcentral's name for it is "tRNA-Ser". It matches the Rfam family "tRNA". From Rfam's summary of the family: Transfer RNA (tRNA) molecules are approximately 80 nucleotides in length. Their secondary structure includes four short double-helical elements and three loops (D, anti-codon, and T loops). Further hydrogen bonds mediate the characteristic L-shaped molecular structure. tRNAs have two regions of fundamental functional importance: the anti-codon, which is responsible for specific mRNA codon recognition, and the 3' end, to which the tRNAs corresponding amino acid is attached (by aminoacyl-tRNA synthetases). tRNAs cope with the degeneracy of the genetic code in two manners: having more than one tRNA (with a specific anti-codon) for a particular amino acid; and 'wobble' base-pairing, i.e. permitting non-standard base-pairing at the 3rd anti-codon position. The record is from RNAcentral. Lineage: Archaea; Thermoproteati; Thermoproteota; Thermoprotei; Thermoproteales; Thermoproteaceae.
GCCGGGGUGGCCGAGCCAGGUCCAACUUGAGAUCCUGUCCCCGCAAGGGGGCCCGGGUUCAAAUCCCGGCCCCGGCACCA